ACCAUGUCAUACUUUUUAAAAAAAUAUAUAUUUUUUUACUUUUAUUUUGUUGGAGGAUCUAAUCAAAACCUUACCGUGCAAAUUUCCUUGACCUCAGACUUGGUGAUGUAGCCGUUCUUGUCGACGUCGAAGAGCGAGAAGGCCCACUCCAGCUUCCUGGUGGUCUUUCCGGUGGAGGUCAUGUGCAGGGCGAUGAUGUACUCCUUGAAGUCCAGGGUGCCGUCGUCGUUGCUGUCGAAGGAUCUGAAGACGUGCUGGGCGUACGUGUUGCCGUCGCUGUCUGGGAAAAACUUGCUGUAGAUGGACUGGAACUCAUCCUUGGUCAGGCGACCGCUCGGACACUGCCUCUUGAAGUUGUCGUACCACUGGGUGAUCUCCGUCUCGGAGAACUUGGUGUGGAGCUUCAGGUCCUCCAGGAUCUCCUUGGACACGGCGCUGCUUUUGCUGUUUCCCAUGACUGAUGGUGAUGACACAAGUGGGGGGUGGGGGUGGCGGGGUCACAUUAGUAAUUUGAGAGUCUUUAAGCUGCAAUACUUCACAAAAACAAGCGACUGUUGUUACGUCAGCUUCCCAAAUCUUCUCAAAGGUCUUAAAGCCAUGAGUGAUGCAAUAUAUUGAACGAUGGGUUGACUAAGCAGCUAGCAUAGAACGCGUUGCAGCGAUACAUUUUUAACAAAACAAGCUUACUCAAAUGUAUCUAACCUAACUAUUUUCACUUGUUAUUGUUUAAAAAAAAAAAAAUCAUACAGACUUUCAAUCUUGAGGGGACAUAACGCCACACGGCUUUAUGUGAAGGAAGAGGCAGUGUUACCACACUCCUCAGAUAGUUUAGGAGCGUUAAAUAGAUAAUAAAUUUCCGACGCUCUAAUUUGUUAAUAAUGCAUACAAACAACAAAUGACGUGGGGACAGAGCAAGAGUUUUGAUUUGUGAAAAUAUACGAAACUGACCAUAUUUUGGACAUGCGAAGUUUCCGCCCGACAGCGACGCUAUGUGCUAGUUUCAAGUCUUGACCGUAAAGUUUCAACCGGGUCUCAAAUUCCAGCGGCAAAAAUCAAGCAAGUCAAGUUUUGCUCAGUCACAGCAUAUAUUCGCACAUUAGCCACUUUGCGCUCAGUAUCUGUACUUGCUUUGGUUACUGUAGUUGUACGACCACAUUCACAAUCACUUUUUUUUUUUUUUUUUUUUUUUCAAUGCUCCCAAACCGGUCUUCGUAUUGUCCAUUACUUUCUCUUCUCGUUUAAACGCAUAACCAACACGAAGCUUAGUUCAUGUUUGCCCGGCUCGUCGUCAGAAAACAAAAACAGUGACCGGAGUCGACUCGAGUCUAAAUCGUAAUGACUCGAGUCGUCUUCUCUGGCAGUGAAGGAUGAAGUUAGGUGUCGUAGUUGUCGUCGUCUCUUAUCUUUGAGUCGCAAAGCUUUUGUGUUGCUGUUCUCUGUUUUCCCGUUUGAUCAACGACAUAAUCCCUCAAUCCAAAUGUAAUAAUCUCUUGAACUCCCUCCGUGAUACUCGCUUCAUGAGGUGGCCUUCUGCACUCUUGCAAAGACAAACCAAAUGGCACACGGUCUUAAACAAAUGCUGAUUUUCAAAUGUUCACAGACUUGUUAAGUCAUGUAGUUCAAGUCUAAAUCAGGGCAAGUCUUCAUAAGUGUUAACCAAGUCUUGAAAUUGGUAAUUUAAGUCAAACUCAAGUCAAUUUAUGUGAUUCGAGUCCCUCACCUCUGGAUUAUAAAACCGAUAAUGAUGAUGUUUCCUACCGAGGACAAGUCGACAAUCUAGCAGCUUUGCAGAAGAAUGGGCCUUCAAGUCAGUCCUGGGAGGAGAAGAUUCUGGAAGGAACAGAAAUCAUUAAGUUGAUCAAGCCUAACGAUGUCACCUGACUGGGUGUACGUGCUCAUCGAGAGAACGUUACAACCGAUUAUUUUUCUUAUUUUGGGUUUUGUUUCCUACCUUGUUUGUGUGCGCGGGAGCAGCGGAUCCGUGCGGGACCGACGGGAAUAUUUAGUCUGGCGGCCGCCGAGGAAAUCUGCCUCCACCUGCUUGGAUUAGUCAAUUAAACGCCGUCAUCCUGGGGCGGAGCCACGGGAGAUUCCGUUGUAUCACACAUCAACCUCAGUGAGGCUGUGGGUCCAUGAUGGGAUGCGGGAGGAGAGUGGCAGCGGAAAUCAAAACAAACAUCAGGAUCGAGUGAUUAAGCGAAAGCGAGACUUUGGCGCUGCGACUUUUGACCUUACGACGAGCCAAGACUUAGCGUGUCAGUCGAGCAGGUGACGGCUAUGCGGCGUUUCAACGAGCUUAAGGGGCGGCUGCAUUGUGGCGGCACGCCAUCUGCUCCACCUGCGCUCUUUCGCCACACAGGUGCCACUUCUUGCCAGCUGCAUGAUGGGAAAUAGCCAGCUCUUGAUGCUGACUUCAUGCAGUACACAUCUGUUUUCAAAUGUACGUAGGAGUAAAAGUAAAAAGUCUUCAGAAAAAAAGGAAUCCGGUGAUUGAAACGAGGGGGCGGGGAGAUUAGCGACGGAGUCGGGCAGCCAAUGUGGCGAGUUGAGGCGGCCUAAAGAGGAUUUGGCAUCGGAACAAAGCAACGGCGGAAAAGGGAACGGAAAAACGGGCCUUCCAGUGUCGUCAAAUCCCCUUGACCAGACUUUGGACGGAUCUAUUUUCAGAAGCAAAGGUCAAGCUCAUUGUCGUCACGGUGACGAGGAGAUCUUCAUUGCCACAGAAAUAAGAAGAGGAAGAAGAAGAAGAAAAAAAUGGAGCAACUGCUUCAUCUUCUUGUUUUGGUCUCAUGAACUUCUACAUGCGCACUCAGUGGACUUGAUUGGCUUUAAAUGGGCCACAGAAAUGUAUGCGCUGGUCCGGAUCUGGCCCCCACCCCUUGAAUUUGACAUGUGCUGUAUAGAAUAUGAAUUAGUUAUUGUAACAUUUGGAUUUCUUUUUUGUAUCCAAAAAUAGUCAACAUUUUAAUUCCUAUGGCAUUUAGAUACACGUGUUAGUUGUGUUUCUUUAGUGUGGAGACUGUGAUGGGGGGAAGGGGGGGGGGGGGCAGAGAGAUUCAUGAUAAACUGGAUUUUUUUUUUUUUUUUCCUUUUUAAACACGUUGCAUUACACUAAAUUAGAACGAUUUAAUACCGUCGCUGCCCCAAAACUUCUCUGGCCACCUCACAGGAAAACGACGAACUACCACCUGAAGUCAUCAUAAUUGCGUGUGACUGUUGACCAAAAAAAAAAAAAAAAAAAAAACAGAUGUUGGUAGAAUACAUUUUUAAAAAAGCUUUAUUGAAAUGUAACUUGAGAUCAUUAAAUGACAAUAUAAAUGUGAAGGUAUGAAGAGUGUAACAGGAGAGCAAGGUGAAAUGUUUUGGACAAGCUGGUAACACUUGAAUGUGAACACUGGCUGAAGUAGGUGAGCCCUGGCCGCCCUCCGCACUCUCUCUCCUCAGCGGUGGAUUCUGUACGUGAGGAUCUUGCGGCUGAGGUUGCGAGCCAGGCGCUCCACGGCGCUGCCGACGUGUCCCAGCUCCUUUUUGUACGUCAGGCCCUCGAUGUUUCCGCUGUACCACAGCACCCAGCCGCCCAGCGACAUCAGGACCAACAGAGCUCCUGCGCGCGCGCACACAAAACUAAUGUGAUGAAACCUCAUUUUGGACUUGAAAUAGUUAUUUUCAGAUAAAUUACAAAGGUUGUUCAAAGUGUCAAAAGCAUCCACUUUGGACUCAAUGAGUGGAUCAACACAUGUACACAGAUAAUUUAAAAACACACACAGGCAUAUAGUCUUUAUCCUCUGCAAAGAAUGAUGAAUAUUACUGCAGCUCACAGAGUUGGAUGAGAAAUGCUUUUUGUGUGUCUGUCUGUAUUAUACUGCCACCAAGUGGCCAGCUCACGCACACCGGAAGGAGCAGCACAAUGUCCAUCAAAUUGAAGCAAAGAAUUUGGCAAUAACUUUAAUUUCUUUACAUUCUAUUUAUUUCAUGACUGUAUGUACUUAUGAUUUACAAUAUGGUAGAGUGCUAUUUUUCCUAUUUAAAAACAAACUAAUGGCAUUUCAAUGGAGAAAGGUGAUUUAUGACCACAGUACAUAAUAUGUACUUUUGUGUACAACAACACAUGUUGAUCCCAGCUGUGCACUCACGUACCCGUGUAGACGAGCAAGUCUCCAAAGUCUUGACCUUUCACCUCCAGGGGGGCAAAGACCCCCAGCAGCAGGGCGACGCCCCCGAGCACAUCCAUGAGCACGGCGAAGGCCAGAGCCAGUUUGCAGUGGGACAAACCGUCACACAGGCCCAUGCUGGCUUGCUGAUACUCUGGUCAGGGGAAGGGAGGGGGGCUAAAAAAAUAAAUAAAAUUGGUCAUAAAAAUGCUCCAUUAUGGGAUAAACACUUUGAGGGAAGUCAAGUAAGCUAAGGUGAGGCUUAUGUGGCAAAUGCAAAUGUAUGUAU
This is a long non-coding RNA of Phycodurus eques (leafy seadragon), 4440 nucleotides long. RefSeq lists it as uncharacterized. NCBI's taxonomy places the organism in Eukaryota, Metazoa, Chordata, Actinopteri, Syngnathiformes, Syngnathidae. The record is from RefSeq and is a predicted model, not a curated record. The transcript has 3 exons.